AUUGAACGCUGGCGGCAUGCCUUACACAUGCAAGUCGAACGGCAGCACGGGGGCAACCCUGGUGGCGAGUGGCGAACGGGUGAGUAAUGCAUCGGAACGUGCCCUGAAGUGGGGGAUAACGUAGCGAAAGUUACGCUAAUACCGCAUAUUCUGUGAGCAGGAAAGCAGGGGAUCGCAAGACCUUGCGCUUUAGGAGCGGCCGAUGUCGGAUUAGCUAGUUGGUGGGGUAAGAGCUCACCAAGGCGACGAUCCGUAGCGGGUCUGAGAGGAUGAUCCGCCACACUGGGACUGAGACACGGCCCAGACUCCUACGGGAGGCAGCAGUGGGGAAUUUUGGACAAUGGGCGCAAGCCUGAUCCAGCCAUGCCGCGUGAGUGAAGAAGGCCUUCGGGUUGUAAAG
Molecule: ribosomal RNA, 400 nt
Filed under: uncultured bacterium
Lineage: Bacteria
Description: bacterial SSU rRNA
Rfam family: Bacterial small subunit ribosomal RNA
Source: RNAcentral